RNAcentral lists this ribosomal RNA (253 nucleotides) under uncultured bacterium. RNAcentral describes it as "partial 16S ribosomal RNA". It matches the Rfam family "Bacterial small subunit ribosomal RNA", at positions 524 to 776 of the family's 1533-position model. The record is from RNAcentral.
UACGUAGGGGGCAAGCGUUAUCCGGAUUUACUGGGUGUAAAGGGAGCGUAGACGGAGUGGCAAGUCUGAAGUGAAAACCCUGGGCUUAACCUGGGGACUGCUUUGGAAACUGUUAAUCUAGAGUGUUGGAGAGGUAAGUGGAAUUCCUGGUGUAGCGGUGAAAUGCGUAGAUAUCAGGAAGAACACCGGAGGCGAAGGCGGCUUACUGGACGAUAACUGACGUUGAGGCUCGAAAGCGUGGGAAGCAAACAGG